AGCGAGCGCAGGCGGUUUGGUUUAAGUCUGAUGUGAAAGCCUUCGGCUUAACCGGAGAAGUGCAUCGGAAACUGGGAGACUUGAGUGCAGAAGAGGACAGUGGAACUGCCAUGUGUAGCGGUGGAAUGCGUAGAUAUAUGGAAAGAACACCAGUCCGGCGAAGGCGGCUGUCUAGUCUGUAACUGACGCUGCAGGCUCGAAAGCAUGGGUAGCGAACAGGAUUAGAUACCCUGGUAGUCCAUGCCGUAACGAUGAGUGGCUAAGUGUUGGAGGGUUCCGCCCUUCAAAUGCUGCAGCUAACGCAUUAAGCAUUCGCCUGGGGAGUACAACCGCAAAGUUGAA
RNAcentral lists this ribosomal RNA (342 nucleotides) under Levilactobacillus brevis. RNAcentral's name for it is "bacterial SSU rRNA". It matches the Rfam family "Bacterial small subunit ribosomal RNA", at positions 564 to 898 of the family's 1533-position model. The record is from RNAcentral. Lineage: Bacteria; Bacillati; Bacillota; Bacilli; Lactobacillales; Lactobacillaceae.